GGUUUUGAUUUUAUCUUUAACUAUAAUCUAACUAUUUUUUUUAAAUAAUUAGAUCAGUUGAUUAAAAUUUCUUAUGUUCAGAUUUGAUCAUAACCUAUCUCAUCCGAGUAUAGAUCGUAUUUUUCGAUUACGAUCCAUCUUUCUAAAGCAUAAGCUAUUCAAAUUAAAAUUACAAGAAGAACAAAUAAAUAGAUCUAUAUGUUAAUCUUUAAGAUAGCCUAUUUCAUCUGAGCACGGA
RNAcentral lists this long non-coding RNA (238 nucleotides) under Elaeis guineensis (African oil palm). Its description in RNAcentral is "long non-coding RNA (EGUI_LNC077514)". Lineage: Eukaryota; Viridiplantae; Streptophyta; Magnoliopsida; Arecales; Arecaceae. The record is from RNAcentral.